GACGAACGCUGGCGGCGUGCUUAACACAUGCAAGUCGAACGGAAAGGCCCUGCUUUUGUGGGGUGCUCGAGUGGCGAACGGGUGAGUAACACGUGAGUAACCUGCCCUUGACUUUGGGAUAACUUCAGGAAACUGGGGCUAAUACCGGAUAGGAGCUCCUGCUGCAUGGUGGGGGUUGGAAAGUUUCGGCGGUUGGGGAUGGACUCGCGGCUUAUCAGCUUGUUGGUGGGGUAGUGGCUUACCAAGGCUUUGACGGGUAGCCGGCCUGAGAGGGUGACCGGGCACGGGGGGAGGGAAGUACGGCACGGACGCACACGGGAGGCAGCAGGGGGGAAGGUUGCAGAAUGGGCGGAGGCCGGAAGCAGCAAGGCGGGGGGAGGGAUGAGGGCGUGAGGGUUGUAAGACGCGUUCGCCUGGGACGAAGCGUGAGGGACGGUGAUGGGUAAAGAAGAACCGGCUAACUACGUG
RNAcentral lists this ribosomal RNA (468 nucleotides) under uncultured bacterium. RNAcentral describes it as "partial 16S ribosomal RNA". It matches the Rfam family "Bacterial small subunit ribosomal RNA", at positions 28 to 507 of the family's 1533-position model. The record is from RNAcentral.